AUAUCAAUAAGCGGAGGAAAAGAAACCAACAGGGAUUGCCUCAGUAACGGCGAGUGAAGCGGCAACAGCUCAAAUUUGAAAUCUGGCUCCUCUAGGGGUCCGAGUUGUAAUUUGUAGAGGAUGCUUCGGGCAAGGCUGCGGUCUAAUUCGCUUGGAACAGCGGGUCGCAGAGGGUGAGAAUCCCGUCUAGGACCGCCUGCCGCGUCCAUGUGAAGCUCCUUCGACGAGUCGAGUUGUUUGGGAAUGCAGCUCUAAAUGGGUGGUAAAUUUCAUCUAAAGCUAAAUAUUGGCCAGAGACCGAUAGCGCACAAGUAGAGUGAUCGAAAGAUGAAAAGCACUUUGAAAAGAGAGUUAAACAGUAUGUGAAAUUGUUGAAAGGGAAGCGCUUGCAAUCAGACUUGAGGGGGGCGGUUCCCCCGGUCUCCUGACCGGGUCAUUUCCGCCAUCUCCAGGCCAGCAUCGGUUUGGGUGGUCGGUUAAAGGUCCCGGGAAUGUAUCUACCUUCGGGUCGACUUAUAGCCUGGGGCGCAAUGCGGCCCACCCGGACCGAGGUACGCGCUUCGGCUCGGAUGCUGGCGUAAUGGUUGUAAGCGGCCCGUCUUGAAACACGGACCAAGGAGUCUAACAUCUAUGCGAGUGUUUGGGUGUCAAACCCCUACGCGUAAUGAAAGUGAACGGUGGUAAGAACCCCGUCAGGGGCGCAUUAUCGACCGAUCCUGAUGUCUUCGGAUGGAUUUGAGUAAGAGCAUAGCUGUUGGGACCCGAAAGAUGGUGAACUAUGCCUAGAUAGGGUGAAGCCAGAGGAAACUCUGGUGGAGGCUCGCAGCGGUUCUGACGUGCAAAUCGAUCGUCAAAUCUGGGUAUAGGGGCGAAAGACCAAUCGAACCAUUAAGAAUUGUGGGGUAAAAAGGCUACCGGGUGGUUCUUUAACAGUCCUUCGGGGCUACAUCGUCCUUCUGGCGGGGAUCAACACCCGCAGCAGCCCCGGCUGUCCACAGACUAGGAGACGGUGGUCAUCUUAACCGAGAGAUGAUGAUGGUAUAGUCGGUCGUGGUCGUGCCUCUUGACCACGGUAGACGCUGGUAGCUGGUUCCUGUCGAAGUUUCCCUCAGGAUAGCAGUAACGUCUUCAGUUUUAUGAGGUAAAGCGAAUGAUUAGAGGCCUUGGGGUUGAAACAACCUUAACCUAUUCUCAAACUUUAAAUAUGUAAGAAGUCCUUGUUACUUAAUUGAACGUGGACAUUUGAAUGUAUCGUUACUAGUGGGCCAUUUUUGGUAAGCAGAACUGGCGAUGCGGGAUGAACCGAACGUGAGGUUAAGGUGCCGGAAUGUACGCUCAUCAGACACCACAAAAGGUGUCAAUGCAUCCAGACAGCCGGACGGUGGCCAUGGAAGUCGGAAUCCGCUUAGGAGUGUGUAACAACUCACCGGCCGAAUGCAUUGGCCCUGAAAAUGGAUGGCGCUUAAGCGUGCUACCUAUACCUCGCCGUUGGGGUUGAAAUGAUGCCCCAACGAGUAGGCAGGCGUGGGGGUU
RNAcentral lists this ribosomal RNA (1533 nucleotides) under Verrucaria margacea. Its description in RNAcentral is "LSU rRNA". It matches the Rfam family "Eukaryotic large subunit ribosomal RNA", at positions 40 to 1399 of the family's 3401-position model. The record is from RNAcentral. Lineage: Eukaryota; Fungi; Ascomycota; Eurotiomycetes; Verrucariales; Verrucariaceae.